Molecule: ribosomal RNA, 492 nt
Filed under: uncultured bacterium
Lineage: Bacteria
Description: partial 16S ribosomal RNA
Rfam family: Bacterial small subunit ribosomal RNA
Source: RNAcentral
AGUGAACGCUGGCGGUAGGCCUAACACAUGCAAGUCGAACGGCAGCACCGUAAGAGCUUGCUCUUACGGGUGUCGAGUGGCGGACGGGUGAGGAAUACAUCGGAAUCUACUUUUUCGUGGGGGAUAACGUAGGGAAACUUACGCUAAUACCGCAUACGACCUACGUGUGAAAGCAGGGGAUCUUCUGACCUUGCGCGAUUGAAUAAGCCGAUGUCGGCUUAGCUAGUUGGCGGGGUAAAGGCCCACCAAGGCGACGAUCCGUAGCUGGUCUGAGAGGAUGAUGAGACACACUGGAAGUGAGAAACGGUCGAGACUCCGACGGGAGGAAGCAGUGGGGAAUAUUAGACAAGGGGGGAAAGCGGGAUACAGGCAGACCGCGUGAGGGAAGAAGGAGUUAGGGUGGGAAAGUGAUGUAGUUGGGAAAGAAAAGAAGCAGGUUAAUACGGCGCGGUAAUGACGGUACCGAAAGAAUAAGCACCGGCUAACUUCGUG